UACGGGGGGGGCAAGCGUUGUUCGGAAUUACUGGGCGUAAAGGGCUCGUAGGCGGCCAACUAAGUCAGACGUGAAAUCCCUCGGCUUAACCGGGGAACUGCGUCUGAUACUGGAUGGCUUGAGUUUGGGAGAGGGAUGCGGAAUUCCAGGUGUAGCGGUGAAAUUCGUAGAUAUUCGGAGGAACACCAGUGGCGAAGGCGGCUCACUGGUCCAUUACUGACGCUGAGGUGCGAAAGCGUGGGGAGCAAACAGG
RNAcentral lists this ribosomal RNA (253 nucleotides) under uncultured bacterium. RNAcentral describes it as "partial 16S ribosomal RNA". It matches the Rfam family "Bacterial small subunit ribosomal RNA", at positions 524 to 776 of the family's 1533-position model. The record is from RNAcentral.